AUUAUCUUUCACCAGAGCCAGGCUGGCUACACCACAAAGAGUUAAAGCUUUCUCUCUGCACACAGAGAAGUAAUACCAGAGCAAGCGAAGCUCUAAUUGCUUCUCUAGAACCGACAGGGGGAUCGGUAGAUGCAAUGACCUAAUAGUUUUUUUCCACAGCUAUUGUUCUGAUCGCAUGAGAGCUAUUCGUAGUCCUUGCAAUACAAAUUUUCCAAACCAUGGCAAUUGUCAUGAUAUAGGCUGAACUAACCUUUAAGCCAUUUUGUUCCUUAGAUCCUUGAAGCCACUGGACAAUGAAAGUGCAGAUUGCUAAACUUCAACUGGUUUAUAAAAUCACAUGGUAGAUAACAAUUAAGAUGGUCUUUUCCGUUGCUUAGAUAAGCUCUGCUGGUAUGGAUUAAUAAACUUGAUCUCAGCAUUCCAAUGAGGGAGUGGCUUUAUUAAACCACCAAGUUUGACUCUAGCAACAUAAUUCUUUACAACAGAGUUAAUGUAGGAAAAUCUGAUUCUUACUUAAAGGGAUAGUGAAUUUAUCAAAAUUUUGCUCUAAUCUAAAUUCUAAUUUGCUUAAUACAUAGUCUUCAAUAAACCUAAUCAUAUGGACAUUUUCAAAUUAUAGGUGCUAAUUACAGAAGCCAUUUCUGCCAAUUCUGGGGGCUAAGAAAGUCGUGAUUGAAAGGACAAUCCUGAUGAGAGAGCAUAAGUAAUGCCUUCAUUUAACACAUGGCAAAGAAACAACCCAGAGAAGUUAGACGUAACUUGCACAUUGCCCUGGGGAAAGAAAGAUGCUACGCAACUAGAAUAACAAAGGUAGCAUAGUCUUGAUUCUUAAGCAAAAUAUGCUGGUUUAGAAGGAAGACAGAAAAAAAUCAGAAGCAUCCUUAUAGAACUAGUUUCUCUUAUGGUCAAAUCUGGGAAACGGGGAUAUGAUGGAACCCUUUCUGAGGGUGCAUUUUGGAAAAUAGAGUGAAACUUAUAACCACGGUUUGAACUAGGCAAUGACAAUUCUCAGGGAAAUGAUCCCUUCUCCCAUGCCACCCUGAU
This 1044-nucleotide long non-coding RNA is filed under the name Macaca mulatta (Rhesus monkey). RNAcentral's name for it is "lncRNA (ENSMMUG00000058105.1)". The record is from RNAcentral. Lineage: Eukaryota; Metazoa; Chordata; Mammalia; Primates; Cercopithecidae.